This 406-nucleotide ribosomal RNA is filed under the name Leptodactylus mystaceus (basin white-lipped frog). Its description in RNAcentral is "partial 16S ribosomal RNA". It matches the Rfam family "Bacterial large subunit ribosomal RNA", at positions 1822 to 2422 of the family's 2925-position model. Lineage: Eukaryota; Metazoa; Chordata; Amphibia; Anura; Leptodactylidae. The record is from RNAcentral.
CUUGACAAACCUAUAAGAGGUCCAGCCUGCCCAGUGACUCUGUUCAACGGCCGCGGUAUCCUAACCGUGCGAAGGUAGCGUAAUCACUUGUUCUUUAAAUGAGGACUAGUAUGAAUGGCACCACGAAGGUUAUACUGUCUCCUUUUUCUAAUCAGUGAAACUAAUCUUCCCGUGAAGAAACGGGAAUAAAAAUAUAAGACGAGAAGACCCUAUGGAGCUUUAAACAAAUAUACACCUGCCUCUUUACCAAAAAUUUCAGAAGACAAGUAAUUACCCGGGCAUUUUGAUAUAGCGUUUUAGGUUGGGGUGACCGCGGAGCAAAAAAUAACCUCCGCAGCGAACGGGAGUAUUCCCUAAACCAAGGGCCACAACCCUAAGUAUUAAUAAAUUAACACUAAUUGACCCA